UGGGGAAUAUUGCACAAUGGGCGCAAGCCUGAUGCAGCCAUGCCGCGUGUGUGAAGAAGGCCUUCGGGUUGUAAAGCACUUUCAGCGAGGAGGAAGGGUAGUGUGUUAAUAGCACAUUGCAUUGACGUUACUCGUAGAAGAAGCACCGGCUAACUCCGUGCCAGCAGCCGCGGUAAUACGGAGGGUGCAAGCGUUAAUCGGAAUUACUGGGCGUAAAGCGCACGCAGGCGGUUUGUUAAGUCAGAUGUGAAAUCCCCGCGCUUAACGUGGGAACUGCAUUUGAAACUGGCAAGCUAGAGUCUUGUAGAGGGGGGUAGAAUUCCAGGUGUAGCGGUGAAAUGCGUAGAGAUCUGGAGGAAUACCGGUGGCGAAGGCGGCCCCCUGGACAAAGACUGACGCUCAGGUGCGAAAGCGUGGGGAGCAAACA
This 427-nucleotide ribosomal RNA is filed under the name uncultured bacterium. RNAcentral's name for it is "partial 16S ribosomal RNA". It matches the Rfam family "Bacterial small subunit ribosomal RNA", at positions 355 to 774 of the family's 1533-position model. The record is from RNAcentral.